Molecule: ribosomal RNA, 462 nt
Filed under: uncultured bacterium
Lineage: Bacteria
Description: partial 16S ribosomal RNA
Rfam family: Bacterial small subunit ribosomal RNA
Source: RNAcentral
GACGAACGCUGGCGGCGUGCUUAACACAUGCAAGUCGAGCGGUAAGGCCCUUUCGGGGGUACACGAGCGGCGAACGGGUGAGUAACACGUGGGUGACCUGCCCUCAGCUCUGGGAUAAGCCUGGGAAACCGGGUCUAAUACUGGAUAUGACUCCAUGACGCAUGUUGUGGGGUGGAAAGCCUUGUGCGGCUGAGGAUGGGCCCGCGGCCUAUCAGCCUGUUGGUGGGGUGANGGCCUACCAAGGCGACGACGGGUAGCCGGCCUGAGAGGGCGACCGGCCACACUGGGACUGAGACACGGCCCAGACUCCUACGGGAGGCAGCAGUGGGGAAUUGUUCGCAAUGGGCGCAAGCCUGACGACGCAACGCCGCGUGGAGGAUGAAGGUCUUCGGAUUGUAAACUCCUGUUGAUGGGGAAGAACAGGCAGCGACCUAACACGUCGAGGCACUGACGGUACCCGUU